Molecule: ribosomal RNA, 1257 nt
Filed under: Enterobacter cloacae
Lineage: Bacteria; Pseudomonadati; Pseudomonadota; Gammaproteobacteria; Enterobacterales; Enterobacteriaceae
Description: bacterial SSU rRNA
Rfam family: Bacterial small subunit ribosomal RNA
Source: RNAcentral
ACUGCCUGAUGGAGGGGGAUAACUACUGGAAACGGUAGCUAAUACCGCAUAACGUCGCAAGACCAAAGAGGGGGACCUUCGGGCCUCUUGCCAUCAGAUGUGCCCAGAUGGGAUUAGCUAGUAGGUGGGGUAACGGCUCACCUAGGCGACGAUCCCUAGCUGGUCUGAGAGGAUGACCAGCCACACUGGAACUGAAACACGGUCCAGACUCCUACGGGAGGCAGCAGUGGGGAAUAUUGCACAAUGGGCGCAAGCCUGAUGCAGCCAUGCCGCGUGUAUGAAGAAGGCCUUCGGGUUGUAAAGUACUUUCAGCGGGGAGGAAGGUGUUGUGGUUAAUAACCGCAGCAAUUGACGUUACCCGCAGAAGAAGCACCGGCUAACUCCGUGCCAGCAGCCGCGGUAAUACGGAGGGUGCAAGCGUUAAUCGGAAUUACUGGGCGUAAAGCGCACGCAGGCGGUCUGUCAAGUCGGAUGUGAAAUCCCCGGGCUCAACCUGGGAACUGCAUUCGAAACUGGCAGGCUGGAGUCUUGUAGAGGGGGGUAGAAUUCCAGGUGUAGCGGUGAAAUGCGUAGAGAUCUGGAGGAAUACCGGUGGCGAAGGCGGCCCCCUGGACAAAGACUGACGCUCAGGUGCGAAAGCGUGGGGAGCAAACAGGAUUAGAUACCCUGGUAGUCCACGCCGUAAACGAUGUCGAUUUGGAGGUUGUGCCCUUGAGGCGUGGCUUCCGGAGCUAACGCGUUAAAUCGACCGCCUGGGGAGUACGGCCGCAAGGUUAAAACUCAAAUGAAUUGACGGGGGCCCGCACAAGCGGUGGAGCAUGUGGUUUAAUUCGAUGCAACGCGAAGAACCUUACCUGGUCUUGACAUCCACAGAACUUUCCAGAGAUGGAUUGGUGCCUUCGGGAACUGUGAGACAGGUGCUGCAUGGCUGUCGUCAGCUCCUGUUGUGAAAUGUUGGGUUAAGUCCCGCAACAAGCGCAACCCUUAUCCUUUGUUGCCAGCGGUCAGGCCGGGAACUCAAAGGAGACUGCCAGUGAUAAACUGGAGGAAGGUGGGGAUGACGUCAAGUCAUCAUGGCCCUUCACGACCAGGGCUACACACGUGCUACAAUGGCGCAUACAAAGAGAAGCGACCUCGCGAGAGCAAGCGGACCUCAUAAAGUGCGUCGUAGUCCGGAUUGGAGUCUGCAACUCGACUCCAUGAAGUCGGAAUCGCUAGUAAUCGUAGAUCAGAAUGCUACGGUGAAUACGUUCCCGG